AGAGUUUGAUCCUGGCUCAGGAUGAACGCUGGCGGCGUGCCUAAUACAUGCAAGUCGAACGCUUCACUUCGGUGAAGAGUGGCGAACGGGUGAGUAAUACAUAAGUAACCUGGCAUCUACAGGGGGAUAACUGAUGGAAACGUCAGCUAAGACCGCAUAGGUGUAGAGAUCGCAUGAACUCUAUAUGAAAAGUGCUACGGGACUGGUAGAUGAUGGACUUAUGGCGCAUUAGCUAGUUGGUAGGGUAACGGCCUACCAAGGCGACGAUGCGUAGCCGACCUGAGAGGGUGACCGGCCACACUGGGACUGAGACACGGCCCAGACUCCUACGGGAGGCAGCAGUAGGGAAUUUUCGGCAAUGGGGGAAACCCUGACCGAGCAACGCCGCGUGAAGGAAGAAGUAAUUCGUUAUGUAAACUUCUGUCAUAGAGGAAGAACGGUGGAUAUAGGGAAUGAUAUCCAAGUGACGGUACUCUAUAAGAAAGCCACGGCUAACUACGUGCCAGCAGCCGCGGUAAUACGUAGGUGGCGAGCGUUAUCCGGAAUUAUUGGGCGUAAAGAGGGAGCAGGCGGCACUAAGGGUCUGUGGUGAAAGAUCGAAGCUUAACUUCGGUAAGCCAUGGAAACCGUAGAGCUAGAGUGUGUGAGAGGAUCGUGGAAUUCCAUGUGUAGCGGUGAAAUGCGUAGAUAUAUGGAGGAACACCAGUGGCGAAGGCGACGAUCUGGCGCAUAACUGACGCUCAGUCCCGAAAGCGUGGGGAGCAAAUAGGAUUAGAUACCCUAGUAGUCCACGCCGUAAACGAUGAGUACUAAGUGUUGGGAGUCAAAUCUCAGUGCUGCAGUUAACGCAAUAAGUACUCCGCCUGAGUAGUACGUUCGCAAGAAUGAAACUCAAAGGAAUUGACGGGGG
RNAcentral lists this ribosomal RNA (910 nucleotides) under human gut metagenome. RNAcentral describes it as "bacterial SSU rRNA". It matches the Rfam family "Bacterial small subunit ribosomal RNA", at positions 8 to 919 of the family's 1533-position model. The record is from RNAcentral.